UGGAUUUGGGUUCAUCACCA
Molecule: non-coding RNA, 20 nt
Filed under: Arabidopsis thaliana (thale cress)
Lineage: Eukaryota; Viridiplantae; Streptophyta; Magnoliopsida; Brassicales; Brassicaceae
Source: RNAcentral